AUGCCAGACUCCUACGGGAGGCAGCAGUGGGGAAUAUUGCACAAUGGGGGAAACCCUGAUGCAGCAACGCCGCGUGAGUGAAGAAGUAUUUCGGUAUGUAAAGCUCUAUCAGCAGGGAAGAAAAUGACGGUACCUGAGUAAGAAGCCCCGGCUAACUACGUGCCAGCAGCCGCGGUAAUACGUAGGGGGCAAGCGUUAUCCGGAUUUACUGGGUGUAAAGGGAGCGUAGACGGCGAUGCAAGUCUGAAGUGAAAGCCCGGGGCUCAACCCCGGGACUGCUUUGGAAACUGUAUGGCUAGAGUGCUGGAGAGGCAAGCGGAAUUCCUAGUGUAGCGGUGAAAUGCGUAGAUAUUAGGAGGAACACCAGUGGCGAAGGCGGCCUGCUGGACGACAACUGACGGUGAGGCGCGAAAGCGUGGGGAGCAAACAGGAUUAGAUACCCCUGUA
RNAcentral lists this ribosomal RNA (447 nucleotides) under uncultured bacterium. RNAcentral's name for it is "bacterial SSU rRNA". It matches the Rfam family "Bacterial small subunit ribosomal RNA", at positions 328 to 792 of the family's 1533-position model. The record is from RNAcentral.